This 505-nucleotide ribosomal RNA is filed under the name uncultured bacterium. RNAcentral describes it as "partial 16S ribosomal RNA". It matches the Rfam family "Bacterial small subunit ribosomal RNA", at positions 28 to 507 of the family's 1533-position model. The record is from RNAcentral.
GACGAACGCUGGCGGCGUGCCUAAUACAUGCAAGUAGAACGCACAGUUUAUACCGUAGCUUGCUACACCAUAAACUGUGAGUUGCGAACGGGUGAGUAACGCGUAGGUAACCUGCCUGGUAGCGGGGGAUAACUAUUGGAAACGAUAGCUAAUACCGCAUAAUAUUGAUUAUUGCAUGAUAAUUGAUUGAAAGAUGCUAUUGCAUCACUACCAGAUGGACCUGCGUUGUAUUAGCUAGUAGGUGAGGUAACGGCUCACCUAGGCGACGAUACAUAGCCGACCUGGGAGGGUGAUCGGCCACACUGGGACUGAGACACGGCCCAGACUCCUACGGGAGGCAGCAGUAGGGAAUCUUCGGCAAUGGACGAAAGGCUGACCGAGCAACGCCGCGUGAGGGAAGAAGGUUUUCGGAUCGUAAAGCUCUGUUGUAAGAGAAGAACGGGUGUGAGAGUGGAAAGUUCACACUGUGACGGUAUCUUACCAGAAAGGGACGGCUAACUACGUG